Long non-coding RNA from Corvus hawaiiensis (hawaiian crow), 473 nucleotides. RefSeq lists it as uncharacterized. NCBI's taxonomy places the organism in Eukaryota, Metazoa, Chordata, Aves, Passeriformes, Corvidae. The transcript has 3 exons. The record is from RefSeq and is a predicted model, not a curated record.
UGGGUUACCUACAGCCACUUUGGCAGUACUCCAGACCUCUCAUAUUUCUGUACAGGUUACUCUGCUUUUCAAGAGGGUGCUGAGGGAGGCUUUCCCUGUGAUGGCAGAGGACAGAACCAGCCUCUCAGGCCAAUGGUGAUCGUGCAGCGGCAGCUGGCACUAACUGAACCCGUGGCUUUCCUGUAGGCUUGAGAGCCGGGAACAACCAGAUCCUGAUCACAGCACAGCCAGUGAUGCUUUUAGCGGCCUUGAGCAAGUCAUACAUUCUCUAAGUCUGUAAGGUCCCGAAAAUACCCACACUAAUUAAGGCUCAUAGGGAUGUUGGUGCAGUAAUCUUAGGCCGUGGGCAGCCACACAUAGAUAUCCAGCAACAGAAAGGAUGGGGACUAGGUACCUUUACUACCUCAGAAGCAGAGCAGAAACAGGGCAACAUACAAGAUUCACAAAACAAGAAGACAAGGAUGCCAAAUAAA